Molecule: long non-coding RNA, 245 nt
Filed under: Amborella trichopoda
Lineage: Eukaryota; Viridiplantae; Streptophyta; Magnoliopsida; Amborellales; Amborellaceae
Description: long non-coding RNA (ATRI_LNC002323)
Source: RNAcentral
UUUUUAACAGCAAAAAGCCCUGCCAAUAGUUUGACCUUGCUACGUGGAGUAGACUGAAUGAGCUAGGCGGACACUGUGAAUUAUCUAAAGGCGAAGAUGGGCGAAGACUCGGCCCAGCGGGCGCUCUUUCCCAUAGGUGAGCUCCGGCUCCACACACCUGCUGACACCUUUAUAAGCACUUUCUAGUGUGAACCCUUCAGUCGCCUUUCUCAUUUAAGUGCUCGCCUUUUGAAUCUUCAGUAGGG